UACAGAGGUCUCAAGCGUUGUUCGGAUUCAUUGGGCGUAAAGGGUGCGUAGGUGGCGGGGGUAAGUCAGGUGUGAAAAUCCUCGAGGGCUCAACCUCGAAACUGCACUUGAUACUGCCUUGCUCGAGUACUGGAGAGGAGAUUGGAAUUUACGGUGUAGCAGUGAAAUGCGUAGAUAUCGUAAGGAAGACCAGUGGCGAAGGCGAAUCUCUGGACAGUUACUGACACGAGGCACGAAGGCCAGGGGAGCAAACCGGG
Molecule: ribosomal RNA, 257 nt
Filed under: uncultured bacterium
Lineage: Bacteria
Description: partial 16S ribosomal RNA
Rfam family: Bacterial small subunit ribosomal RNA
Source: RNAcentral